GUUCUUUUCAGCACGCCCCAUGGAAGGCCUGCUACCCUUCCAGAUGGCCACAAACUUCAUUUCCAAGAAGAUUCCUCUUCUCCGUGGUUGGAAACCCAACAGUCCAUUUGGCUACUUUAUGGCUCCUUGCUUUAGUUGACACAGUCAACAAACAAGCUAGAAGCAU
This is a long non-coding RNA of Nannospalax galili (Upper Galilee mountains blind mole rat), 166 nucleotides long. RefSeq lists it as uncharacterized. The transcript is spliced from 3 exons. Lineage: Eukaryota; Metazoa; Chordata; Mammalia; Rodentia; Spalacidae. The record is from RefSeq and is a predicted model, not a curated record.